GUGGGGGAUAACAUCGGGAAACUGGUGCUAAUACCGCAUGAUACCUGAGGGUCAAAGGCGCAAGUCGCCUGUGGAGGAGCCUGCGUUCGAUUAGCUUGUUGGUGGGGUAAAGGCCUACCAAGGCGAUGAUCGAUAGCUGGUCUGAGAGGAUGAUCAGCCACACUGGGACUGAGACACGGCCCAGACUCCUACGGGAGGCAGCAGUGGGGAAUAUUGGACAAUGGGCGAAAGCCUGAUCCAGCAAUGCCGCGUGUGUGAAGAAGGUCUUCGGAUUGUAAAGCACUUUCGACGGGGACGAUGAUGACGGUACCCGUAGAAGAAGCCCCGGCUAACUUCGUGCCAGCAGCCGCGGUAAUACGAAGGGGGCUAGCGUUGCUCGGAAUGACUGGGCGUAAAGGGCGCGUAGGCGGUUUACACAGUCAGAUGUGAAAUUCCAGGGCUUAACCUUGGGGCUGCAUUUGAUACGUGUAGACUAGAG
RNAcentral lists this ribosomal RNA (478 nucleotides) under Asaia sp. RNAcentral describes it as "bacterial SSU rRNA". It matches the Rfam family "Bacterial small subunit ribosomal RNA", at positions 136 to 646 of the family's 1533-position model. Lineage: Bacteria; Pseudomonadati; Pseudomonadota; Alphaproteobacteria; Acetobacterales; Acetobacteraceae. The record is from RNAcentral.